GGAAGGUGUCCGUGUACUCGAAGUAGUAAGCCAGCAGCACCGUCCCAGCCAUGAUCACCAGCUGGAAAUAGAACAUUAUCCCGGCGUUAGGACGUGGGAGGAAGAGGGGAGAACCGAGUCCCUGCUCCCCUCAGUCACGGGGAGAAGAUGCAUAGGAAACCCGGACCCGACUGACUAAAGAAAACAUCAAAGAAGCUCUGAAAACAGCACGAGCAAGAAAACAAGGCAGGGAUGGACGGAGAUGAUGCGAGAGGGGGAGAGCCUUUCUGCUGCUGGCACUCACGGAACCUACUACUGUUGAGCUAUGAUUCAUAGACCUCAACCCAGAAAGAAGAACAAAAGCUGCAAACGGAAAAGUGACAUCAACCAACAGGACGACUGAUGCAAAACACAACAGUGAACCUGUGUGUCUCCUUUCUCCUCCUUCAUGAACCAGUUGAACUUUUAAAAUGAAACCCUCUGAUGAUUUCUAGAGAAGUUCAGGACUGAAACCAACUCGGAACUCAUCCAUGUUGGUUUUGUUUGUUCACUAAGUUUUAAACCUGCCCAGAUGUUUAAGAUGUGCUAUUGGGGUUCCAAUAAAGUUUUGAAAAAUAUGUAACUUCAAUAUUUGACAUUGCUGGAAGAAAACGACAGAGAUUUAGAAUUUUGACUGCAAGUUCUACAUGAAAAGCUGGUGAAACAUUGUUUUUAUGACUUUGACAUGCAGUUUGCUUGGAAACUUUGAUAUUUGGGCACUUUGGUUUUAGUAAAGAUUAUUUAAUUCAUUGUAUUCAGUGUCAUAUUACCAUGAUUGUAAAUGUAUCAGUUAUGUUGUUAGAUCAGAGUAGAUCAUGUGACUAAUUGAUUUAUUUUUAUUGUGACAGGCCUAGGGACAAUAUGUAAAAAGAAAUAUAUUGAAACUGAUAAAACCAACAGCAGGUGGAAUAAAACAGUCCAGCAGGAUUUGAUCUGA
This is a long non-coding RNA of Xiphophorus hellerii (green swordtail), 955 nucleotides long. RefSeq lists it as uncharacterized. The transcript is spliced from 4 exons. Lineage: Eukaryota; Metazoa; Chordata; Actinopteri; Cyprinodontiformes; Poeciliidae. The record is from RefSeq and is a predicted model, not a curated record.